This 696-nucleotide ribosomal RNA is filed under the name uncultured Bacteroidales bacterium. Its description in RNAcentral is "bacterial SSU rRNA". It matches the Rfam family "Bacterial small subunit ribosomal RNA", at positions 32 to 715 of the family's 1533-position model. The record is from RNAcentral. Lineage: Bacteria; Pseudomonadati; Bacteroidota; Bacteroidia; Bacteroidales.
AACGCUAGCUACAGGCUUAACACAUGCAAGUCGAGGGGAAACGAUAUUGGAAGCUUGCUUCCGAUAGGCGUCGACCGGCGCACGGGUGAGUAACGCGUAUCCAACCUGCCCACCACUUGGGGAUAACCUUGCGAAAGUAAGACUAAUACCCAAUGAUAUCUCUAGACGACAUCUGAAAGGGAUUAAAGAUUUAUCGGUGAUGGAUGGGGAUGCGUCUGAUUAGCUUGUUGGCGGGGUAACGGCCCACCAAGGCGACGAUCAGUAGGGGUUCUGAGAGGAAGGUCCCCCACAUUGGAACUGAGACACGGUCCAAACUCCUACGGGAGGCAGCAGUGAGGAAUAUUGGUCAAUGGGCGAGAGCCUGAACCAGCCAAGUAGCGUGCAGGACGACGGCCCUAUGGGUUGUAAACUGCUUUUAUAAGGGAAUAAAGUGAGUCUCGUGAGACUUUUUGCAUGUACCUUAUGAAUAAGGACCGGCUAAUUCCGUGCCAGCAGCCGCGGUAAUACGGAAGGUCCGGGCGUUAUCCGGAUUUAUUGGGUUUAAAGGGAGCGUAGGCCGGAGAUUAAGCGUGUUGUGAAAUGUAGACGCUCAACGUCUGCACUGCAGCGCGAACUGGUUUCCUUGAGUACGCACAAAGUGGGCGGAAUUCGUGGUGUAGCGGUGAAAUGCUUAGAUAUCACGAAGAACUCCGAUUG